AAUUUGGACUGAAUUUUCAAGGAUUUGAAGAAAAAAUCCUCACAAAAAAAAAUGUUCAAACAUUUUUUGAGGGGUUUUAAACAUUAUUCUUUUGAUUAGCAGUUGACAUCUUAGGCAGGGUGCUGCAUUCUCUCUCGCUUGUUUCAUUUUCCUCUCUCGCGGUCUCAGCUAGUGCGCGACCUCCUAAAAAAGGAAAAGUAGUGUACGGCGCAGCUAGCAGGUCCUAUCUGCUUUCUCCCCUUCCGGAUCCCCUUUCGCCGUCGUCUUGGUGGCCCGAUUCCGGCCAUCUCUCUCUCUCUCUCUCUCUCUCUCUCUCUCUCUCUCUCUCUCUUACAGUGCUCACGGGACCGAGCUUUCCUUCGCUUUCUCUACCUAUCACAUCCCCACUGUCCUGUGCCCGCCCCCUCCGCUGACCCUAGGCGCGGCAUGGAAUCGCCAACAUGGUUCCGUGUUGAGACAACCUCGUUGACUCCUUUAGCUCAGGCGGCCGUGCGGCCUGGUCAAGGAGAGGCGGCCAUGGCCCCAUGAGGUUUGGGCCGUGGUGUCAUGCGCAUCGGCUCGGUGGCCGGGUGGGCGCUUCUACCAUAGUGCAUUGGAGGCGGCGUGGCUAUGGAGGUAACAGAACUGGAUGGCGGAUGCGACCUACUGGCAUCAGCGUCAUAGACAGGUAGAGCGGCGUGUUGGCUGGCGGCAGCUUGCAUGGCCGAACGGCGGAGGCGCUCGACGACAACCAUGACGCUACGCUGGUCGGAUGUAUCGGUAUGUCGUGCGAGUUGUUGCAACCGUCAUCCAUGUUGGAUUCGGCGACUGCAAGCAGCGGCACUUGCCCAUAUUCUCUGCGUACCUUCUCAUCCGGAAGCACCAUGUGUAGGUACGUUUGUUCCUCCUGGUCUUCCCACCUAUUUUGUACUUUUACCUUUACCUAGACAUGAUGCCGAGGUGAAGCAAUUUGUUUUGGGGAUGUAGUAGUUUGGAGUUAGCAUUAUAUACUGAGUAUUUAUUUGUCCAAAUGGUUUCAUAAAAAAGACAUGCCAUCCUGUUAGAUUAACAGACGGGAAGACAGAAAUUGCAGUGUUGUUUGCUUGAUGUUAUUCUGUUAGCCAUUAAUUGUAUUCGAACUCAUGAAACCUCUCCAUCCAUGUACUGCAUUUUCAUGAUUGCUACACCCCUCCACGUGGGGCGCAUCAGGCGGCUGCGGUGGGCAAGGUCGCGGUGGUGGCCAAACAAAAAUAAAUGAGACGCAAACGACACGGUGGUGCCGGCCGGGGUAUGCAGUAUGUUCGUCUUUACAAAGGCAGCCAUAGGAUUUUUUUUUUCUGAUCAAGAUCUAUCUCUUUGGGACCACUGAUUUUGUUAGUAAGCCUCUAGCUAAGAAGAGGUAGAAAGGAGGUGCUGAGUGGCAACCGAUGGCAGCGGAUAAGAAGGCAUGGAAGCUGAUUUAAGCUGGUAGACGGUAGACAAAGAGCAAUGGAAGACAAAUUAAGGUGUUGUGCUACCAGUUGGCUGGAUUCCUGGGCACCCUGUAUUCCUCGUUGACUGGUUCCACUCCGAACUACGGCCGCAGUCACUUGUCACCAUCCAGCAUGAAUCAGGCGCCAACAGCAGCCUCUGAACUCCUCGAGUCGCUGUAGGUACACAGCAUUUUUCCUGCUGGCAUUUAUCAAAGUUUUCCAAUGCGUCGUGGCAAGGGCAUAUUUGGCAUUUAUCAAAGUUUUCCAAUGCGUCGUGGCAAGUGCAUUGUGAAAGCGCAUCAGGUAUGCAACUGAGUUUCCUAAUCCAGUUGAUAAGGGAAUCGGCACCAUAGAGUGCAGCGGAACUGCAAGUGGAAGUAGGUUUUCUUGAAGAAUUUCCUUCCCUUUCUUCUUUCCCAGUUCUUCUUUUCCGUCCAUUGUUUGGGGGAUCCUGUCGAUCUGGAUACUGAGAGGAGCAGCGAACGGCUGAAGGGGGUGUUUGGAGUUGGUGGAGUCGCUGCAGCAUGUGAGUUCUUUGCUUGCUGAAGAAGAAGGCAGGGCAGUUGUUUCUAGGCCUUGCACGUGAAUUGUGUUGUGGUAUUCAGGUUGCGUGGGCUUUUUACAUGUAUGGUUUAGUUGGCUGGACAGUUUCGUGUUGGGUUCAAAAAAACGGACACAUCGGACUCAAUUACUUUCCCGUACUGAAAUACGUCUGUUUUGGUUAACUAAAACAGACACUUUUUCAUUUCAACGAGUGUUUUCAUUGUUGUUUUUUAAAAGACAGCUGUCUUCAUUUGAUUGGUGCAGA
Molecule: long non-coding RNA, 2259 nt
Organism: Lolium perenne
Lineage: Eukaryota; Viridiplantae; Streptophyta; Magnoliopsida; Poales; Poaceae
Source: RefSeq, a predicted model, not a curated record